This 501-nucleotide ribosomal RNA is filed under the name uncultured bacterium. RNAcentral describes it as "bacterial SSU rRNA". It matches the Rfam family "Bacterial small subunit ribosomal RNA", at positions 28 to 526 of the family's 1533-position model. The record is from RNAcentral.
GACGAACGCUGGCGGCGUGCCUAAUACAUGCAAGUCGAGCGGUUCCUUCGGGGAUAGCGGCGGACGGGUGAGUAACACGUAGGCAACCUGCCUGGAAGAUCGGGAUAACUAUCGGAAACGAUAGCUAAGACCGGAUAACUGAUUUUCCCGCAUGGGGAAAUCAUGAAACACGGAGCAAUCUGUGGCUUUCAGAUGGGCCUGCGGCGCAUUAGCUAGUUGGUGAGGUAACAGCUCACCAAGGCGACGAUGCGUAGCCGACCUGAGAGGGUGAUCGGCCACACUGGGACUGAGACACGGCCCAGACUCCUACGGGAGGCAGCAGUAGGGAAUCUUCCGCAAUGGACGCAAGUCUGACGGAGCAACGCCGCGUGAGUGAAGAAGGUUUUCGGAUCGUAAAGCUCUGUUGCCCUAGACGAAAAGCAAGGAGAGUAACUGCUCCUUGUGUGACGGUAUAGGAGAAGAAAGCCCCGGCUAACUACGUGCCAGCCGCCGCCGUAACAC